UAAUGACUCACUAAAUUAAGCUCCUACCCACGAAUUGGUCCCCGCCCACCCUUUGGAACCUCUGCUGUAGCCAGUGGGGAUCACGGAGGGUUCCCAGCAGGGGAGCAACCCGAUCAGAAGGGGCAUUAGGUCAGUGCUGACCAAAUGUUCUCAGGCGAAGGACCGAUUCUGUAAAUUUCCAAACUGUCAUGUACUUUACUUUUUUUUUUUUAAAGAUUUUAUUUUUUCCUUUUUCUCCCCAAAGCCCCCCAGUACAUAGUUGUACAUUCUUCGUUGUGGGUCCUUCUAGUUGUGGCAUGUGGGAUGCCGCCUCAGCGUGGUCUGAUGAGCAGUGCCAUGUCCGCGCCCAGGAUUCGAACCAACGAAACACUGGGCCGCCUGCAGUGGAGCGCGCGAACUUAACCACUCGGCCACGGGGCCAGCCCCCGUGUACUCUACUUUUUAAAAAUACAAUAAGAAUGAAUUAUUAGAAAACGAAAUAGCCAAGACAGAAGAAAAGGCAAGCCUGAUUCGUUACUAUUAGCUUCGGCAGACACUGAGGAGGGGCUCCAUGAACGCGCUGUUAGGUGGACACCAGCUUGGGGUUAGAGGCGUGAGGCGCUUGCCAGUCCUUUUGAUGCCCUCAAGCCCUUGACAUGUGGCCACACCUGCCCUGCCAAUCUGUUCUGUAGCCGUUCCAAUUUGCAUAGUCUGCAGGGCUUUGCUAAGGAGAGAGGCGCUGUGCAGGCUCCUGCCCUGUCAACACAGCCCAGCUGCCUGAGUUCGCAUCCUGCUUCUGCCACUAACUGGCUGUGGGCCGUGGAUAAAGGGCUUCACCUCUCCAAACCUCGGUUUCCUCCUCGGACUGUCCUGGGAGAUUAAGAAAGCAAUCCACACUGCGGGGCUUGACUCAGGGCCAGAACCGGGUUUACACCUCACCUUCCAGCUCUCACAGCUGUGAUUCUGUUGUUGUUUUCUGUCUUUCUGAGUCAGGCUCAUCCUCUCGGGUCCCUUCUCUUUGCCCCUCACUGGCCACGUAGGCCAAGCCUUCUCCCUGCCUCAGCUCUUCGCUUCUUCUCUCCCUCGCGCGUCAGAAGAUGGCUUACAUCCUACUUGGCAGAGAAAACGGCGAGCUUCCUCCCCCAGCUUCCUUCUCCUCCAGGUUCUCCUCACUCCUACAUCCUUCCUCCGGGCUGACCCUCCACCUGAGCCCCACUUACCUGCCUCUCUUCGCUCCAUUGCUAGGAGCUUCUUUCCAUCAGUGAUUCCCUCCCUCUUCUGGGAAUCCUUCCAAAGUCACAUCUCUGGUCACUCCUCAGCCUAAGGCAGUCUGCCCUGUGGUGUGCUGCUAAAUGUCUAACAACAGGCCCUCUGGAGAGAAAAUGUAUGCAUAUAUACGCAGAUAUGAGUUUAUUAUAAAUUUUAUUGACAUAAAGAAUGUUUAGCAAUUUACAAAUAAUAAAAUAUACAAUAUUCUUCAUUGUAAUUGCAUAUAGCAAAUUGAAUCUUACAGAAAACUUUCACUGAUUUUUACCAACCUGCUAAAUCCAUAACCAACCUAUAAUUGUAACUGACAAAUGAGUGCACUUUUGACACAAAUGUUGGCUGAUAUUUUCGUUUGUGCCAACUACUAAGAAAAAAGUGAAACAAUGAAGAUGCAUGUGGGAACUGCACUCAUUUGUCAAUGGUGUAAGCAACUUCUUUACUGAAUCAGAUAUAGUUUUUGAAUACUGAAAGAACAUUUGCUCAAUUUUUCUGUGCUAUUCACAAUGUAAUGGCUACAGGCACAACAUACAUUUAAGUUUAAAGUGCAUUAUUAACAUUUUCUCCAUAACUUUCCUAAGUGUAGACAGUCAACAAAACAAUAACUCAAGCCCUGAUUUCUGGUGUUUGCCAGUUUCCACGGUGUAAAUGUUCCCACUGUGGCCAAUUUCAAGGUACCAAAGUGAUGUCACUGAAUGCAUACUUGGGAAGAACAGGGCAGCUGCAUAACGUUAUAUAGUAUUUGCACAGACACAAUAGAUGUAAAUAACCUUAAAAGCAUAAACAAUAAAUGAUGAGGAUUUUAGGCUGGUUACUUUUAAAACUGUAGAUGAGAAGCAGGCUCUGAGGACUGGAAUUUGCUUGCUCUUCCAGAGAUAUGUGCACUUGUGAAGGAAGUGGGGAUGACCUUGUAGGGACCUGAAAUUGGCCACCCCAGGAUAUGUCUCUUUGGAAUCGGGAUUGUUUGGGGCUGAUUGUUUUGGGACAGGGAAGGAGGCUCUGAGGAACGGAACUUGCCCUUGUUGGGACACAUUUACAUUUGUAAGGUAAAUCUCUAUCUGUAAAAGGUGCCUCCCUCUCUGUACCAGGAAGGAGAAGAGAGAUGACCUUGUCCCUAGAAACUCUUAAUGGGGAAGGCAAGAACUUAAGUUGGUUGCUGUCUGGCAAUCUCAUGCAACUGAUUUAGGGUGGUGGCUUCUAACCUUUCUAACCUUUACUUAAUCCGAUUUGAUUCUUGUCUAAAAGUCAUGGGAUCACCCAAUGACCAGACCCCACCUGCACUGAUACCAUUUUAACUUUUUUUCAUGUUCUUUCCUUUGUCUUGUAAAGAGAUGACUCACAUACCCAUGCCUUAUAAAAUUAGCCCUAACCCUCAACUCUGCCCGUGGGUCCUGUCCCCACGCACCAGCUCUGCCUGCCCAUGGGUCCUGUCCCCAUGCCAGCAGGGGCAGCAGAGGCAGCAGCAGCAGCAGCUGUGACUGCCCGUGGGUCCUGUCCCUACACACCAGCUCUGGCUGCCCAUGGGUCCUGUCCCCAUGCCAGCAGGGGCAGCAGAGGCAGCAGCAGCAGCAGCUGUGACUGCCCAUGGGUCCUGUCCCCACACACCAGCUCUGGCUGCCCAUGGGUCCUGUCCCCAUGCCCGCGGCAGCAGCUCUGACUGCCCAUGGGCCCUGUCCCCAUGCUAUUCCACACUAUUCUCUAAAUAAAAGAGCACUACUGCCAGAUCUUGAGAGUCCAAGAAAUCUUUCUUUUGACUCCUCGGCUCACCGAUCCCGCAUCAAUAAAAUACUGUAAAAUUCUUAGGAAGUGAUGAGUUUUGAGUAUUUAUCUUUGUGUGUGUUUUUUGGUUUUUUUGAGGAAGAUUAGCCCUGAGCUAACAUCUGCUGCCAAUCUUCCUCUUGCUGAGGAAGACUGGCCCUGGGCUAACAUGCCUGCCCAUCUUCCUCUACUUUAUACGUGGGACACCUACCACAGCAUGGCUUGACAAGUGGUGCCAUAUCCGCACCUGGGAUCUGAACUGGCAAACCCUGGGUCGCCGAAGCGGAAGGUGCAAAAUUAACCACUGUGCCACCGGGCCGGCCCCUCUUUGUUUUUAAUAUAACUUAUUUAAUUGUAAUUUUAUAUAAUUUUUUUUUUAAAGAUUGGCACCUGAGCUAACAACUGUCGCCAAGGCAGGGACUGGAGAGUGGGGAUUCUGGAAUCGCUUUGGAACAGAAGUGGAACAGUUCUGCGUGAUGACAAUGCUCGAUGGCUGAGGAGGGUAUGGACCACGAGGCCAGGCUGUUCCCAGAAUACGGGGUCAUGGGCUGGCGGCACGUUUACAUUCCUGUCACACCCCCUGUCAGCUAGCCACCCUGCAACCCUGUGUCUCACAGCCCCAGAGCUCCUGGGGGCAGGGCUGGUGCUCAGGCACAGAGCAGGCCCUGGUCACAGGCCUGGCUGCUCCCCACCAACACCCCCGGGACAGUUCCAGGCUAAGGCUUGAUCUUCAGGCAGGAGGAAGGAGGGCCAACCUCAGCCAGAGGCCCCAGAAAGCUGAAAAUCCCCAGGGCUUGAAGGUCAGAGCUCCCUCUGAGGGUGUCCAUAUGCUCCUCCCAGCACUCUCUCUCUACCUCGUCAGGACCCAGGGGACACAAGAACCUGGGAGUCUCUUCAGGGAGAGUUUUCACAGACUGGAUCUGAGGACAGUCACACACUGGUCCCAGAACAUUUGCCUUCCGGUUCCCUCUGCCUCCUGAGGGGACACAACCCAGUGGGCUGGAAAGCUCAGCUUCAGAGGCAGGCCGCUCCACCUCUCACCCACAUGGUGGCUGUGGGAAAGCUACCUGGCCUCUGUUUCCUCUUUCAGAAAAUGAAAACAAUAGGACCAACCCAACAAGCAGUUAAGAAGAUUAAAUGAGAUAAUGCAGACAGAGCACUUAGGCCAAACCCAGAGCAAGCUCAUACUGACCGUGAGGAUUACACAGAGCUACGGAAAACCCUCACAGAGUAGACCAAAAACAGCCUCAGUAACAAUCUGUCGGCGAUGCUGCUAUAAGGGUCCCGUCUGGUCAUAUGAUAGUGACUGGGAAAGGCCAGGAAUGACAAAAGAAAAGAAAAGCUUGCCCCCUCCCAGGAAGUGGCAGACUCUAGGACAGUGGGUGCCCAUGACUGCUUUAGAGGUUAUGGAUCCACCCCUCACUGCACAGCUGAGGAAACAGGCUCAGAGACAAUGGGUGGUGUGCCUGAGACCACAUUGCAGGUUUGUGACAGUAGUUGGACAAGAGGACAUAGCUUCCAGUUUGUUCUUGGUGCGGCCAGUUUAUCUUCUCAGAUAUUAAUUUGUGUUUAGAUGGUUGCGUUUUCUUCCCCCUCCCACUCCAAGAAGUUCUUGGAUCAGUCCUCUUUGAGUUUCAGGACCAGAUACAACAGCCCCAGGCCCUCCUCUCCUUUCUGUUUUCCUGAGCCUGGGCUCCUUGCAGACUCUGAGGGCAGUGUCUUGAAGGUCAUGCUGACUAUGAGAGGGGAGAGAGAAGAGGAAACUGAGGAGUGGGGAGAGGAGCAAGAAUGUGCUCUCCACCCCGAGGGGGCAGCCUCAGAGGUGGGGAGGCAGGGCUCUGGACAUGAAUGCAUCAAGGAGCCUGGGGACAAGAGUCUGAGCCACACAGGGCACCUGGCCCAUGAGAGCAAACGGCGCAUGGAAGUGCCCCUUUCCUGGGCAGCCCCGUGAGCCUCCUGGAUUCUAGGGUAACCCUUACUGGGAGGGGACCUAUACCGACCGUGAUGGAAUUUCCUCCUAGUCAGGCAAGAUGGGAGCUCAGGGUUGCAACUAGUUGAUCUCAGGAGCAUCUGCUGCCCUGGUGAGAUGGCAGACUGAGAAUCACACUGUCCACAUGAGGCACUGCUCAGUCCCCUUCAUGAUGUCAUUCCCAUGACAAUAUCACCCAUUUGUAUAGGGCUUUACAAAGUGCCUCCACAAUCGUCUAUUGGGUCCCUGAGAUUCCGCCUGUUAACCAGAUGAAAAAACCAGAGCUCAGAAAACAGACUGGAUUUGCUCAAGUUCACACAGAUAGUAAGAGAACUAGGACGAAACCCCAGUUCUCCUGACCCCUAGAGAGUGCUCUUCACAAGAUGUCACUGCCCACCCUGUACUGCUCUUUGUACACAGCUGGCCUCCAGGCCACCAGCCGAGCCAGCUCUCUAGGAGAGCACACGUCGCUGUCACCUAGGUUCCAGGGUCGGCCUGGGACAGGCCUCUGCAGGAGAAACAAGGCCUGCAGGCAGCAUGUGGGCAGGCCUGCCUUUCCUAGGUGGCCCUGCCUUGGGGACUUUGCAGGAUGCAGUGACAGCUUUCUAGAUGCUCACCUAAC
Molecule: long non-coding RNA, 5591 nt
Organism: Equus caballus (horse)
Lineage: Eukaryota; Metazoa; Chordata; Mammalia; Perissodactyla; Equidae
Source: Ensembl